GGGAGGCGGAGCCGCCGAGCUCGCUGUGGCCCGGAUGUUUGGUGCAGCUGCCAGAUCCGCUGAUCUAGUGCUUCUCGAAAAAAACCUUCAGGCGGCCCAUGGAUUUAUAGCGCCCGUCACAAAGGGCAGGACCGCUGCAAAAAAAUGGAAUCUUAAAACUUUAGCCAUCGUUCGCUAAAGGAAAUGAAAGGAGAAAUUCAACAGUCGCUUGGAGCCUGGGUUUUGCUUACUGUCGAUAUUCAACCAGCAUGCCUUGGACUUUAUUGUGGGAAGACCCUAUUAUUUAAAAAUGGCUCAACUGAAAUAUAUGGAGAAUGUGGGGUAUGCCCAAGAGGACAGAGAACGAAUGCACAGAAAUAUUGUCAGCCUUGCACAGAAUCUCCUGAACUUUAUGAUUGGCUCUAUCUUGGAUUUAUGGCAAUGCUUCCUCUGGUUUUACAUUGGUUCUUCAUUGAAUGGUACUCGGGGAAAAAGAGUUCCAGCGCACUUUUCCAACACAUCACUGCAUUAUUUGAAUGCAGCAUGGCAGCUAUUAUCACCUUACUUGUGAGUGAUCCAGUUGGUGUUCUUUAUAUUCGUUCAUGUCGAGUAUUGAUGCUUUCUGACUGGUA
RNAcentral lists this small RNA (611 nucleotides) under Pan troglodytes (chimpanzee). RNAcentral describes it as "processed transcript". Lineage: Eukaryota; Metazoa; Chordata; Mammalia; Primates; Hominidae. The record is from RNAcentral.